This is a long non-coding RNA of Alligator mississippiensis (American alligator), 2566 nucleotides long. RefSeq lists it as uncharacterized. Lineage: Eukaryota; Metazoa; Chordata; Crocodylia; Alligatoridae. The record is from RefSeq and is a predicted model, not a curated record. The transcript is spliced from 2 exons.
CACGCCACGCCACGCCUGCUGCAAUGCUUGUGCCCAGUGCAAGUGAGCCCUACACGCCCUGCAGCCUCCGGGUCACCCACAUGCUCGGGCUUUGCAGCCUCUCCCACGCGGCUCCAGCGACCUGCGCCAGUCGGGCACAGAGACACUGGGCAGAUGCGGCAGGACCGUGAGCAGCCCUCGGGCCCCCCCAUCCAGGGUCACAGGCCUGAGCAGGAAGGGGUGGAACCGGCAGGGAAACAGCAGAGAAGAGGUUACGCCCGGGACCCCCAUCCCAUCCCAUCCCUCCACAUGCAGGGCUCAGACCGGCCUCCAGCUGCCCAGAUGGCUCGCAGCCAUGAGCUGUAACGCAAUUCUGCAGCACAUUUGGUGGAAUAAAUGCAAAGAGCUUGUUACAGCGAGUUAGAUAAGAGAGAAGGGAACGCGGCUCUUGCAGGCUAAUUCGGAAUCUGAUCUGCCUUCUCCCCGGCUGUGAAGGACGACGCGGGACAGAGCGUUUCGCGUAGAGGAGGCACCGGGGGCUUCUGGGAGCCGCGUGGGGAGGACACGGCCCAGAUCGCAGCCCAGGCGCGGGGGCGGGGGGAGAGGCUCCUGGCUUUAGCCGUGCGGGGGGGACAUCCUGCCUGGCGCUGGGCGUGCCCACCGUUCACUGCCCCUGCCUGUAGACUGCGCUACAUCGCAAAGCAGAGUGUGCUGUCACCAGGGUGCUGCACACUUGCUCGCACGCCUCUCCGCCUGAGCCCGCCUGCAGGGCGGGAGGACAGUAGGGCACGCGGGCCCUACCCACGGCAGCCCCGCGUGGGGUUCACUGCCCACAAGCGGAGGUGUGGGGCGCACAGCUGCUCUGUAGGGCUGUGGUAGCAUCUGCUUGCAGCCACGUGGGGCAGCACUCGCAGCCCUGGGCUCGAGGACGGCGUGGCCCCAGCACCACGCAGGAGUGCGCAGGGGGCUUGGCCACGUUCCCACGCCCGAACAGCCCAGGUCAUACCAGAGUGUGCAGCGCUCCUGCCCGGGGGCUCGCAGGAUGGGGCCUUGGGGUGCUCCAUGCUUGGACCGUGCAGAUGCCCCAGGUCAGGGCACGUGGCUGGCGUGGGGCCUGGGGGGAUGCUCGCUCAGCAGGAAGCACCACGGAAAGGCAGCUGCAGAGUGCCCUGCACGUGGAGCCUCUAGCGCAGCAGUGGUCCCCCCGCCAGCGGCCACGCACCUCCCUGCACUGGGGACGUACGUGGGCUGUGGCUGCCCUGGGCCCUGGGGGUGCCGCCCACCCUCACCCGGUACGGCUAUCGCUGCGCUCACGCCACGCUGCGGCCAGAGAAAAGCCUGGUGAUUUUUUAUUUACUUAUUCCCAGCUCCGGCAUCCUGCGGGCAGUGUGCCGCGUGGCGUGCUCAUUUAUCUCCAUUUCCCCCUCCUGCCGCCUGUCCCCAGUUUCAGGCAGAGCCUCGGAGGGGAGAGCCUUAUCUCUCCGGCACUCGGAAAAUAAUUGCGGCCUCUCCUUGUCGAAGCCCUGACAGCGCUCCUUCGUGUCAGGGCGGGCAGCCGGCAGCGCGGCCAGCCAGCCCACGCCUCGCCCCAGGUCACGCCGGGCGUCCCAUCCCUCCAGCCCCGGGCUGCCAGCCGGCUCCAGGCUCCCCACGGCCCCCAGCCUCACCUCCCCGCAGGGCAGGGAGGGCUCUCCAAGCCUGGCUGUGGCAGAGGAAAGGGAAUACCAGCCCCACCUGGCGCCUUGCCUGCACAGCCUCCUCGCUUGGACACCGGUGCCUGCAAACUCUAGGUCCACGCACACGUGAGAACGUGCACAUGCAGGGACACACAGUCCCCAGCACGCAGCCCUGCAGGCAUGCAGGCCUAGCCCCCAGCGGAGGCUCAGCCAGCUACCCCCGUGCCCCAGUGCCGGGUCCCUCCUGCAGCCCCGCUGCCCAUGUCCACCCAUCCAUCCAAGGAGGAGGAUGGGUUCAGACUUUCCUGCCUGCAGUGGCUUCUUGCUUCAGUGGCAUUGCCUAGGACCAGGUCCCCAAGGCGCUCAGCGCAGUCUCGGGGCCGGUCGGGGAGAGGCAGGAGCCAGCUGCUGCUCCACCAGGACCUGGUGACCGAUGGCGGUGCCAUGCUGGGGCAGGACGGGCGUCAGAGGCGCCUGCCGCUUCGCCCGUCCAGCCCCGCGCUUGGAGCCUGGGCAGCAAACGGCUCGGGCAGGGGCCCGCGGCUGGAGACCCGACCCCCCACCCGGGAGGCCACGCUACCUGCCCCAGGCUGCCACGGCCCUUGGGGAGGCGUGCCGAGGUCCCCAGAGCCCCGUCCCACAUGCCAGCGCCUGGGCACCGCUACCCUGCACGGCGGGCUCUGGAGCGCGGCGCGUUUAGCAUUCAAGAGAAAGGAAGAUGAAAAACUAAGUUCCUUAUCUCAAGGAGCCUAUAGUGCCAGCACGGAAAUUCAGAGCGUCUCGUUGUCCAAGGUUAAAGAGUGAGAGCUGAGGCAUGAAAAGGCAGGAGAUAAGAUGAAAUGUUUUCUGUCCAAAUGAAUGGGCUCCACUCUCCUCCGUAAUAAACGAUCAGUGUCAAUAUGACAAAUUAA